Molecule: ribosomal RNA, 443 nt
Filed under: uncultured bacterium
Lineage: Bacteria
Description: partial 16S ribosomal RNA
Rfam family: Bacterial small subunit ribosomal RNA
Source: RNAcentral
CCUACGGGAGGCAGCAGUGGGGAAUAUUGGGCAAUGGGCGCAAGCCUGACCCAGCAACGCCGCGUGAAGGAAGAAGGCCCUCGGGUUGUAAACUUCUUUUAACAGGGACGAAGAAAGUGACGGUACCUGUUGAAUAAGCCACGGCUAACUACGUGCCAGCAGACGCGGUAAUACGUAGGUGGCAAGCGUGAUCCGGAUUUACUGGGUGUAAAGGGCGUGUAGGCGGGAGAGCAAGUCAGACGUGAAAUUCCAGGGCUCAACCCUGAAACUGCGUUUGAAACUGUUGUUCUUGAGUGAUGGCGAGGCAGGCGGAAUGCGGUGUGUAGCGGUGAAAUGCGUAGAUAUACGGAGGAACACCAGUGGCGAAGGCAGCCUGCUGGACAGUAACUGACGCUGAGGCGCGAAAGCGUGGGGAGCAAACAGGAUUAGAUACCCUAGUAGUC